GAUAGGAAUGAUAAUUCAUGCUCCAAAUUAAAAUCAUUGCCUCCUCUAGCGCCAAAACCCCGACCAAAGUCCAUGGCUGAUCCAGAGAGGAAAUCAGGAGAAUUAAGUGCGUAUCUGAAUGAAGGACCAAGUCCAGGGUCUGAGACGCCUGAUACACCAUGUGUUUUGACAGGUGAAAAGAAAUCUGUCAAGGAACUUGCAGCGAAUUUGUGCAAGCAAGGAAGCGACUCUCCAGAUGGCAAAAGGAAACUUGACUUAGGUUCUCAUCGGUUAUCUGGUAGCAGACUCGAUGCUCAAAUUCUUUUGGUGAUAAAAACCAGGUAA
Molecule: long non-coding RNA, 324 nt
Filed under: Bemisia tabaci
Lineage: Eukaryota; Metazoa; Arthropoda; Insecta; Hemiptera; Aleyrodidae
Description: lncRNA ENSSSA3NGG006860
Source: RNAcentral